UCAUAUGCUUGUCUCAAAGAUUAAGCCAUGCAUGUCUGAGUAUAAGCAAUUAUACGGCGAAACUGCGAAUGGCUCAUUAUAUAAGUUAUCGUUUAUUUGAUAGCACCUUACUACUUGGAUAACCGUGGUAAUUCUAGAGCUAAUACAUGCUGAAAACCCCGACUUCGGAAGGGGUGUGUUUAUUAGAUUAAAAACCAAUGCCCUCUGGGCUCUCUGGUGAUUCAUGAUAACCUCUCGAAUCGCAUGGCCUUGCGCCGGCGAUGGUUCAUUCAAAUUUCUUCCCUAUCAACUUUCGAUGUUUGGGUAGUGGCCAAACAUGGUUGCAACGGGUAACGGAGGGUUAGGGCUCGGCCCCGGAGAAGGAGCCUGAGAAACGGCUACUACGUCCAAGGAAGGCAGCAGGCGCGCAAAUUACCCAAUCCCGACGCGGGGAGGUAGUGACAAUAAAUACUGAUACAGGGCUCUUUUGGGUCUUGUAAUUGGAAUGAGUACAAUUUAAAUCCCUUAACGAGGAACAAUUGGAGGGCAAGUCUGGUGCCAGCAGCCGCGGUAAUUCCAGCUCCAAUAGCGUAUAUUAAAGUUGUUGUGGUUAAAAAGCUCGUAGUUGAACCUUGGGCCUGGCUGGCCGGUCCGCCUCACCGCGUGCACUGGUCCGGCCGGGCCUUUCCCUCUGUGGAGCCCCAUGCCCUUCGCUGGGCGUGGCGGGGAAGCAGGACUUUUACUUUGAAAAAAUUAGAGUGCUCCAGGCAGGCCUAUGCUCGAAUACAUUAGCAUGGAAUAAUGAAAUAGGACGCGCGGUUCUAUUUUGUUGGUUUCUAGGACCGCCGUAAUGAUUAAUAGGGACAGUCGGGGGCAUCAGUAUUCAAUUGUCAGAGGUGAAAUUCUUGGAUUUAUUGAAGACUAACUACUGCGAAAGCAUUUGCCAAGGAUGUUUUCAUUAAUCAGGAACGAAAGUUAGGGGAUCGAAGACGAUCAGAUACCGUCGUAGUCUUAACCAUAAACUAUGCCGACUAGGGAUCGGACGAUGUUAUCUCUUGACUCGUUCGGCACCUUGCGAGAAAUCAAAGUGCUUGGGCUCCAGGGGGAG
RNAcentral lists this ribosomal RNA (1087 nucleotides) under Ophiocordyceps brunneipunctata. RNAcentral describes it as "SSU rRNA". It matches the Rfam family "Eukaryotic small subunit ribosomal RNA", at positions 24 to 1123 of the family's 1831-position model. Lineage: Eukaryota; Fungi; Ascomycota; Sordariomycetes; Hypocreales; Ophiocordycipitaceae. The record is from RNAcentral.